UUUGAAGGGUGUGGGUAUAGGGUCGAAUGGAGGGUGGUGAAUUCGCGGCAUUACCUGCCCCAUAAUCGGGAACGGGUCUACAUGGUUGGAACACGCAAUUAUUUCCCCAAAAAUGGCAUGGAUUGGACCAAGGUCCAAAGUGGCAACAAAACAGGCAGCACC
This 162-nucleotide small nuclear RNA is filed under the name Proboscia alata. RNAcentral describes it as "partial Dictyostelium signal recognition particle". The record is from RNAcentral. Lineage: Eukaryota; Bacillariophyta; Melosirophyceae; Probosciales; Probosciaceae.